UGCGUAGGUGGUGCUGUAAGUCAGGUGUGAAAUCUCGGGGCUCAACCCCGAAACUGCACUUGAUACUGCAGUGCUCGAGGACUGGAGAGGAGGUCGGAAUUCAUGGUGUAGCAGUGAAAUGCGUAGAUAUCAUGAGGAAGACCAGUGGCGAAGGCGGAUCUCUGGACAGUUCCUGACACUGAGGCACGAAGGCCAGGGGAGCAAACG
This 207-nucleotide ribosomal RNA is filed under the name uncultured bacterium. RNAcentral's name for it is "partial 16S ribosomal RNA". It matches the Rfam family "Bacterial small subunit ribosomal RNA", at positions 568 to 774 of the family's 1533-position model. The record is from RNAcentral.